Molecule: long non-coding RNA, 6064 nt
Filed under: Medicago truncatula (barrel medic)
Lineage: Eukaryota; Viridiplantae; Streptophyta; Magnoliopsida; Fabales; Fabaceae
Description: long non-coding RNA (MTRU_LNC004548)
Source: RNAcentral
GUUGAAAAUUGGCUUCAAAUUUGUGGUUUGGAAGAACAGAGGAAUCGUGUCGCGAUUUGGCAAUCGUGACACGAUCGGAGAUGCCGUGAGCCAAGUUUGCUGGAAGCAAAAUCGUGGCACGAUCUUGGGAAAUCGUGACACGAUUCAGAAACUUGCUGGUUAAGUAUCUCUGAUAAGGACUGGUCAACCUGGGGACCGUUGCAGAUCGUGACACGAUCUAGGGAAAUCGUGGCACGAUUUCUUCAGGGCAGGACUAGUAUUUAAAGUGUUCUUGUGCUUUUUUGAAGACAACCUUAAGACAACCUUGAGAGAACUUAAGAGAGAAAACUUGGAGAUCAAAGAGGGGAUCCUUUGGGGUGUGUUCCUUUGAUGAGAGUGUUUCUUAGGUUGGGAAAACAACAUUGUAAUCACCUUGGGAUUUAGGGUUCAUAGUGUGAGGAUGGGAAAAUACCAAAGGGUAGAUCUAGGGUUUUGUCAUGUGUAAAGCUUGAUAAGCUAGAUUCUUGUAACUCUUUUGUAACACAUUCACAUAUUGGAUUGGAGAGCUGCUCUCUCCCCCAGAUUAGGCCACAUUGGCUGAACUGGGUCAACAAUCUUGCUUGGUGUUUGUUCUUUUCUUUUCAUGGUUUAUCUUGUUAUGCUUGUUAGCUCUUAGUGUGGUUUUUGCUAUACAUUAGGCUUAGGCUGUUUUGUUGUUGUUAGCUUGGAGGCCAUUUGCACUCAUAGAUUAUCUCUAUCACUUGCUCCACACAUCAUUGGUUUAUUCUAAUUGGUGUGAAGGUUCAUUAGUUGAGCCGGAUUCACAACAAUUGGCGCCCACCGUGGGGCAUAGGCGUGAUUGAUAGUUGGUAUCAUGGGGUCAAAGUGGGACAUCGAGAAGUUCACCGGAAGUAAUGAUUUCGGGUUAUGGAAGGUUAAGAUGCAAGCGGUAUUGACACAACAAAAGUGUGUAGAAGCAUUGAAGGGUGAAGCGGCGAUGCCGGCAACCUUGACACAAGAGGAGAAGCGUGAGAUGGUAGACAAGGCAAAGAGUGCCAUUGUCUUAUGUCUCGGAGAUAAGGUCUUAAGGGAUGUCGCGAGAGAAGCUACCGCAGCAUCGAUGUGGGCAAAGUUGGAGUCAUUGUAUAUGAUGAAAUCUUUGGCUCAUAGGCAACUCUUGAAGCAACAACUCUAUUCAUUCAAGAUGGUGGAGUCUAAAUCGAUCUCGGAGCAACUAACGGAGUUUAACAAGAUUCUUGAUAAUUUGGCCAACAUUAAAUUUAACAUGGAAAAUAAGGAUAAGGCUUUGUUGUUACUUUGUUCAUUACCAAAGUCCUUUGAGCAUUUCAAGGAUACCAUUCUUUAUGGUAAGGAGGGCACUACUACUUUGGAGGAGGUCCAAGCGGCUUUGAGAACCAAAGAAUUGACCAAGUUCAAGGACAUGAGGGUUGAUGAAGGUAGUGAAGGCUUGAAUGUUACAAGAGGGAGGAAUGAGCAUAGAGGAAAAGGCAAAGGGAAAUCAAGAUCCAAGUCUAGGUCCAAGGGCUUUGACAAAUCAAAGUAUAAAUGCUUUCUUUGUCACAAGCAAUAGGGAUGGCAAUGGGUACCCAAUGGAUAGGGUACUACAAUGUCCGUCUCCAUACCCGCAUUUAUAAAAAAUACCCGUACCCGUGCCCGUACCCUUGUGGGCAACAACUUUAGUCCCCUUCCCCAUACCCUAUGGGUACUUAAUUACUCAUACCCGCACUCAUUACCCGCACUUUAACUAUGGAAAAACAAAAAAAACAUCACAAAUGAAAUAAAACUACGAUCCCAAUUUUUUAAAAUUAACUCAUAAAAUAAUAUGAACUAUGGUAUUUAGUCAAAUAGAAAACAUCCGAAAUAUUCCUAAAAAAUUAUACACCGGCAUGAUGGAGUUGUUAUUGUAUUAAGUAGUUGUUUGGUUUAAGUUUAGGUUUAGGCUUAAAUAACUAAAUAAAUUAAUUAAUUAUACAUAAAAAAUAAAUAAAUAAUUUAUGAUAUUAUAUAAAUAUGCAUAUGCGGGUCUGCGGGUCUGGGCAGUAUAGUACCCUUACCCGUGCCCAUACCCAUUUAAUUUUUUGGGUAUUACCCGUACCCGUGCCCAGACCCAUAAAAGCGGGGUUUUACCCUACCCAUUAUGGGUAUUUUUUGCGGGUAUCCAUUGGGUCUGGGUCCAAUUGCCAUCCCUAACAAGCAAGGUCAUUUCAAGAAAGAUUGUCCGGAUAAGGGGGGCGAAAGUGGUCCCUCGGUUCAAGUUGCGGAGGCUUCAAAUGAAGAAGGUUAUGAGAGUGCGGGUGCGCUAGUGGUAACAAGUUGGGAACCGGAGAAGAGUUGGGUUUUGGACUCGGGAUGCUCUUAUCACAUGUGUCCUAGAAAGGAAUAUUUUGAGACUUUGAUUCUAAAAGAAGGAGGAGUUGUUCGACUCAGAAAUAACAAAGCUUGCAAAGUCCAAGGCACGGGCAACGUUCGUCUAAAGAUGUUUGAUGGCCGUGAAUUCCUUUUAAGGGAUGUGAGGUUUGUUCCCGAACUUAAGCGAAAUUUAAUUUCCAUAAGCAUGUUUGAUAAUCUAGGUUAUUGCACUAGAAUAGAGCAUGGGGUUUGUAAAAUUUCGCAUGGUGCAUUGAUUACGGUAAAGGGGUCUAGAAUGAAUGGUUUAUACAUUUUAGAUGGUUCCAUAGUAAUUGGUAAUGCAUCGGUAGCCAGUGUUGCAUAUCAUAAUAAUUCUGAAUUGUGGCAUUUGAGGUUGGGGCAUGUUAGUGAGAGGGGUUUAGUUGAACUAGCUAAACAAGGUUUGCUAGGGAAAGAUAAAUUGGACAAGCUUGAAUUUUGUGAACAUUGCAUACUAGGCAAACAACAUAGGGUGAAGUUUGGAAGUGGCAUGCAUCAUUCUAGUAGACCUUUUGAGUAUGUGCAUUCAGAUCUUUGGGGUCCUUCUAAGAGUCCUACUCAUGGGGGAGGUUCCUAUUUUCUUUCUAUCAUUGAUGAUUAUUCUAGGAGAGUGUGGGUCUUUGUUUUGAAAAACAAAAGUGACACCUUUGAAAAGUUCAAAGAAUGGCACACUCUCAUAGAAAAUCAAAUGGGAACUAAACUAAAAGGUUUAAGAACUGACAAUGGCCUGGAGUUUGUUUCAGAGCAGUUUAAUGAGUUUUGCAGGUUGAAAGGAAUCAAGAGGCAUAGAACCGUACCAAGAACACCUCAACAAAAUGGUCUUGCGGAACGCAUGAAUAGGACUCUUUUGGAGCGUGUGAGGUGUAUGAUUCUAGGAGCUGGGUUACCUAAGAGUUUCUGAGGUGAAGCCGUGACAACGGCUGCUUAUUUGAUCAAUAGAUGUCCAUCAACGGGAAUAGACUUCAAGAUACCUAUGGAGGUAUGGAGUGGGAAACCGGCGGAUUACUCCUCUUUGAAGGUUUUCGGAGCUUUGGCAUAUGCGCAUAUCAAGCAAGACAAGCUUGAGCCUAGAGCUUUGAAAUGUGUCUUCAUUGGUUAUCAGGAAGGUGUGAAGGGAUACAAGUUGUGGAAAUUGGAAUCUAGUGGAAGAUCAAGAGUCUUGAUAAGUAGGGAUGUUACCUUUGAUGAGACCCGGAUGGGGAUGAAGUGUAAAGACCUAGAGACUCAAGUACCGGAAACUAUGGUGGAGAGAACUCAGUUUGAGGUGGAGCUUCCAAAUGAAGAAGAAGAAGAUGUAGAAGAUGAAGCUUCAACAUCGGAUACAAGUGGAACUCAACCGGUAGUGGAUCCUGAGUAUCUAUUGGCAAGAGAUAGAGAAAGAAGGACCAUUACGGCUCCUAAGAGAUUCGGUUAUGCGGACUUGGUGUGUUUUGCUCUAAAUGCGGCGGAAGAUGUGCAAGACUCGGAGCCUAGAGACUUCAAGGAGGCAUUUGAGAGCAAAGAGAGCAAAUAUUGGUUGAAGGCGGUGAAUGAAGAAAUGGAUUCAUUGGAAAGGAACCAAACUUGGAAACUUGUGAAGUUACCUAAUCACAAAAGGGUAGUUGGAUGCAAGUGGAUCUUCAAGAAAAAGGAUGGCAUUCCGGGUGUUGAAGGUCCAAGGUACAAAGCAAGACUUGUGGAAAAGGGUUUCACUCAAGUGGAGGGGAUCGACUACAACGAGAUCUUUUCACCGGUGGUGAAGCAUUGUUCCAUAAGGAUACUUAUGGCUAUUGUGAAUCAAUUCAAUCUUGAGUUGGAACAGAUGGAUGUGAAGACCGCUUUCUUACAUGGUGACCUUGAAGAGACAAUCUACAUGGAACAACCGGAAGGUUUUGUGGAGGACAAGUCUAAGGUGUGUCUUUUGAAGAAAUCUUUGUACGGGUUGAAGCAAAGCCCUAGGCAAUGGUAUCGUCAGUUUGAUGAGUUUCUUUUGAAGACCGGUUUUGUGAGAAGCGGAUAUGAUUCUUGUGUGUACAUGUUGAAGAAGAAUGAGAAAGUCAUUCUCUAUCUUCUUUUAUAUGUGGAUGAUAUCUUGAUGGCGAGCUCUAGCAAGGAUGAGAUUAUGAAGCUCAAGGAGAGGUUAAAUGGUGAAUUUGAGAUGAAAGAUCUUGGUCCGGCAAAGAGAGUUCUUGGGAUUGAUAUCGUGAGGAAUCGUGACAAAGGGGAACUUUUCUUAUCUCAACUUGGUUAUUUGAAGAAGGUGGUGGAGCGUUUUAGAAUGUCAAACUUUAAAACCGUAAGCACUCCCUUGGGUCACCACACAAAGUUGUCCAUACAACAAUGUCCUUAAUCCGAGGAUGAGAAGCAAUUGAUGGAAGGUACUCCCUAUGCAAGUGGGGUUGGAAGCAUCAUGUAUGGAAUGGUUUGUAGUAGGCCGGACUUGGCUUAUGCGGUUAGCAUUGUGAGUCGGUUUAUGGCAAAUCCGGGAAUUGUGCAUUGGCAAGCUUUGAAGUGGGUGUUGAGGUAUUUGAAUGGGUCGUUGAAGGGCGGUUUGAAGUACACAAGGGCAGCUCAAGAUGAAGACGCUUUGGAGGGGUAUGUUGAUGCGGAUUAUGCGGGCAACGUGGACACUAGAAAAUCCUUGUCGGGUUUUGUGUUUACUCUUUAUGGCACAGCGAUUAGUUGGAAGGCAAAUCAACAAUCCGUGGUGGCAUUAUCUACAACUCAAGCGGAGUACAUCGCACUUGUUGAAGGUGUGAAGGAGGCCAUAUGGUUGAAAGGGAUGAUUGGUGAGUUAGGAAUUACUCAAGAAUGUGUGAAGAUACAUUGUGAUAGUCAAAGUGCCAUUCACUUGGCAAAUCAUCAAGUGUAUCAUGAAAGGACAAAGCACAUUGACAUUCGCCUGCACUUUGUCAGAGACAUGAUUGAAGCAAAAGAGAUUGUGGUUGAGAAAGUGGCAUCAGAGGAGAAUCCGGCGGAUGUGUUCACCAAGUCAUUGCCUCGAUCAAGAUUCAAGCAUUGCUUGGACUUGAUCAAGUUUGUCGAAGAGUAAUUCCCUUUGGAGAGAGCAGCAUGGUGGUUGAUGGUUAUAUUGACAUCACCACCAAAUUAGAAGUCAAGGUGGAGAAAUGUUGAAAAUUGGCUUCAAAUUUGUGGUUUGGAAGAACAGAGGAAUCGUUUCGCGAUUUGGCAAUCGUGACACGAUCGGAGAUGCCGUGAGCCAAGUUUGCUGGAAGCAAAAUCGUGGCACGAUCUUGGGAAAUCGUGACACGAUUCAGAAACUUGCUGGUUAAGUAUCUCUGAUAAGGACUGGUCAACCUGGGGACCGUUGCAGAUCGUGACACGAUCUAGGGAAAUCGUGGCACGAUUUCUUCAGGGCAGGACUAGUAUUUAAAGUGUUCAUGUGCUUUUUUGAAGACAACCUUAAGACAACCUUGAGAGAACUUAAGAGAGAAAACUUGGAGAUCAAAGAGGGGAUCCUUUGGGGUGUGUUCCUUUGAUGAGAGUGUUUCUUAGGUUGGGAAAACAACAUUGUAAUCACCUUGGGAUUUAGGGUUCAUAGUGUGAGGAUGGGAAAAUACCAAAGGGUAGAUCUAGGGUUUUGUCAUGUGUAAAGCUUGAUAAGCUAGAUUCUUGUAACUCUUUUGUAACACAUUCACAUAUUGGAUUGGAGAGCUGCUCUCUCCCCCAGAUUAGG